ACGGGGUCGUCUGGCAGUAGCACACUCUAGUUACGUUUCUGAUUACAACCCUUUCAGUGGUAUCGAUUUUAUGCUCGUAUAUAUGAACUCCUAAACGAUUGUAUAACCUUUUUAUCAUAAUUUAAAAGAUCGUACAAUCUCUUACGCGGUUCCUUUUUAUCCGUCAAAAUAAGAUAUGACAAUCUCCUAUACCUAUCGGACAUAUUUACCUUUUUAGGUUUGGAACGGUUAAUGCUGAUUGCACGUCACGACAAUACUUCGUCGUUACACACUAUGGACUAGGUACACUGAUGAUGAAAUAUUUCAAAUUGAUUAAUGGACAUUACGCAUUAAUGUGUAACACGUUCAUAACUUACAAGACCGAUAUU
This is a non-coding RNA of Cinara cedri, 368 nucleotides long. Lineage: Eukaryota; Metazoa; Arthropoda; Insecta; Hemiptera; Aphididae. The record is from the annotation of a GenBank genome assembly.